Molecule: long non-coding RNA, 2303 nt
Filed under: Numida meleagris (helmeted guineafowl)
Lineage: Eukaryota; Metazoa; Chordata; Aves; Galliformes; Numididae
Description: lncRNA (ENSNMEG00000011080.1)
Source: RNAcentral
UGCUGACGGCGGCCGUGGCGCUCCCAUUUAUAGCAGCGCAGCGGGCGCUGAUUGGUGCACGCUGCCCCGCCCCUCUCCGCCGCCGCUCGGCGCUCGGCGGCUCUGCUUGUGUUUCUUCGGGGAGAAUAAAGUGUGUUUUUUAUACUUUGUCCGCUACGAAACCGCCCUUUCUCUACAUCUGAGGGAGCGUUUGGGGGUCUAUAUUCACCUGUCGUUGUCUUGUUCUAGAAAGAGUUGCGUUCCGGCGCAGAGGGGACGAUAAAUCCCGUGUCCUGCAACCGAGCGGUCCUUCCGAGGGCGAAAGUUUUGUUUUUCUUUGUAAAUUACAAAUUCUCCUUUAAUGUUAGCGCGAAAGGACAAACUCGGCGUCAAUCUCCAGAGGGUCUUCUUUCCCUCUGAGCAGGAAGCGGGCGGCCAGAGCCCCGCUGUUCCGAACCACACGGCUCCAAAGCUGCCGAGGUAGCACAGCUGCCGGCAGCAGUGCCUGCGCGCUGCUCGCCCCGCUUCACUCCUCCGCCACCGCCAAGCGCUCCGUUGGGGAUAUUUCUCCCCAAACUUCCCAAGCUACGAUUCCCAGCGUGUCUGUGUGGCAUAGGAGAUGGUGUACAGUUUAUGCACCUCCGGAUGGGAGGCUUUUCGUGCAACCCUUUGCUGCUGUGAACGUGGCACAGGGAGCUUUAAUGGUAAUGGCUGGGCAGGGACAUGAAGACCAAAUAUGAAAACGUUUGUGUCGAACAGCUGAGACACGUGGAAGCCUCUGGCACACUGGAACAGGCCACAAAGCUAAAACAUGCAGUGCUAUUUAUGUACAGUGUGUUGGUGUGAUUCAGUAACAUGGAAAUAAUGGACAGAGCGCAUCUGCAGGGGAUGUGAAAAUGCCACUUCAUGCUUAUUUUGACUCCAAAAUAGGAAGAAAAAUCACCAUCUUUACCCUUACCUUUGGCUGCAGUGUGCAGUGACCCGAAGCUGUUUGGAUCUAAGCAUGCUCACUUCCCUGUCAGCUAACACUUUCUGUGUAUUUUGGUACUUGGCAGGAUUUCCUCGUUCAUUUAUCUUAAAGUUUGUCCAUUCACAGCCUUCACCCAUCGUAUUGCUGCAUUUGUGCCUAACGUGUACCAAUUGUUCUUGCAGGGUGCUGACCAGAUGCUCAGCUUCAUUGUUUCAACAAAACGGAAGAUUGGUGGCAGAGGAAAAAAAAAACACUUCACUCCCUUCUCCCAUUCCACCACAGGGAAGGUCACUUUCCAGUGUGUCACAUCCUUCUGCACAAGGGAGAGCAGGAAAUGGCAAACUCCCAGUAUGAGGCAAAGCAUUCCCAUUGCAGCAAUUGGUCCACAGGAGCUAUAAAUUGGUCUCCUCCAGAAACAGACCAAAAUUUGUCUGUGAGGAGGUCAGCCAGAAACUAAAGGUAAGUUUGAACCAGUAUUUCUUUUGAAUCUGUCUGAGUACUGUGCUAGGAAAGCAUUUACAGUUUAGUUGCAGACUGGGACUAAUGUACGCAUUAUUUCAUAAUGUUUUAAAAAACUAUUUCUUAUUAUUUGUUAAAAAAUUAUUAUUAAUUUAUUAACACAUAGAACUCAUUAUUUACUCUUAAUAGUAACUUAAUUAAACAGUUAUUGUGGGGGAUUUUUCUCUAAGAGUAGGAGAUGGCUUUGUUUUCCUUUAUGCUGGCAUAAAUCUGUGCAUUCAAAAGACGUGCAUCACUGUCAGGCUGAUGCUAUAGAUUAAAUGACUACUAACUGUGCAAAGAGAUGGCUGCUGGCAUUACCAGAGACAGUUCUCCACAAGAAAAUCUGCAGAACAAAAUGUUAAGAAGCCACAGGAAUCUAUAUAUUUAAUGAUCAUCAUAUUGAUCUGUUACUAAGUCACUGAUGAUGUGCUCAUUGCUUAUUUUGAUGCCGGUAUCUGUUUAGCUUAGUUUUAGUCCUUGUGCCUUCAGCUUAAUCUCUGACUAUAGAUUUAAAAAUAAGAGGACACUGCCUUCAGCUAAGAAAAGCACAGUGGACCAAGUGACUCAAAUAGCCCAAAGUUGAUAAAGGCCUAAGAGAGACUGAUAUGAUUGUUCUGAUGGUCAGAGGGGGCAGAGGAGGCCCUAGAGGAUUCCGUGUGAAAUGGAUUAGGAAAAGUAGAAAAGAAAAAUGACAGCAAGAGUUACUUAUUUACGCUCUUUAGGGUGGAAAGACUCCUAGUGAUAGAUGGUUUCCUUGUCCUGGAAGACAGGGAGUCUGCAGAACGAAAGCCCCGAGCAACCUAACCAUACAGUGUGCCCAGUGUGAGGGAUCAGGCCCCUCCGGUUCACACAA